GAACCGACUAAUGUUGAAAAAUUAGCGGAUGACUUGUGGCUGGGGGUGAAAGGCCAAUCAAACCGGGAGAUAGCUGGUUCUCCCCGAAAGCUAUUUAGGUAGCGCCUCGUGAACUCAUCUUCGGGGGUAGAGCACUGUUUCGGCUAGGGGGUCAUCCCGACUUACCAACCCGAUGCAAACUACGAAUACCGAAGAAUGUUAUCACGGGAGACACACGGCGGGUGCUAACGUCCGUCGUGAAGAGGGAAACAACCCAGACCGCCAGCUAAGGUCCCAAAGUCAUGGUUAAGUGGGAAACGAUGUGGGAAGGCACAGACAGCCAGGAUGUUGGCUUAGAAGCAGCCAUCAUUUAAAGAAAGCGUAAUAGCUCACUGGUCGAGUCGGCCUGCGCGGAAGAUGUAACGGGGCUAAACCAUGCACCGAAGCUGCGGCAGCGACACUAUGUGUUGUUGGGUAGGGGAGCGUUCUGUAAGCCUGCGAAGGUGUGCUGUGAGGC
Molecule: ribosomal RNA, 496 nt
Filed under: Pseudomonas aeruginosa
Lineage: Bacteria; Pseudomonadati; Pseudomonadota; Gammaproteobacteria; Pseudomonadales; Pseudomonadaceae
Description: partial 23S ribosomal RNA
Rfam family: Bacterial large subunit ribosomal RNA
Source: RNAcentral